This is a non-coding RNA of Podarcis lilfordi (Lilford's wall lizard), 97 nucleotides long. NCBI's taxonomy places the organism in Eukaryota, Metazoa, Chordata, Lepidosauria, Squamata, Lacertidae. The record is from the annotation of a GenBank genome assembly.
UCCUUGCUGGAUAGCUCAGUUGGUAGAGCAUGAGACUCUUAAUCCCAGGGUUGUGGGAUUGGCUACAUUGGGUGAAAGAGUCCUGCAUUGCAGGGGG